AUUGGCCUUCUUGGCCACCUGGGCACACUGCUGGCUCAUCUUCAGCCACCUGUCCGUCAGCACACCAAGGUCCCUUUCAGGGCUCAGGCAGCUUUCCAGCCACUCCUCCCCAAGGAGGACUGGGGGGACGCCUGGGCUUGUUGUGACCAAAAUGCAGGACCCGACACUCGGCCCCAUUGAAACUCAUCCAGUUAAGCUGGCAGAGUGAAGAGAGAACAAAAACCAAGCAGGCAAAGAGCAGAGCUGUCCACAGGGGGCAGGGCUUGGGGCAGGGCCUGUGCCGGAGGGUGGUCCAGCACAGUGGUGGCCUCGGGGCCCAGGCUGGAGGGGGCCUGGCACAGUUGAGGCCUGGUGUGGGCCCAGAAGGAAGGGGGCCCAGGCACAGGUAGAGCCUCGGGGCCCAGGCUGGAGGAGAACCAGGCUCAGUUGGGGCUGUGUUGGGGCCCAGGCUGGAGGAGGACCAGGUGCAGUUGGGGCUGCACUGGGGGGGCCUGAGCUGGAGAAGGGCCUAGCACAGUUGAGGCCUCCUCUGGGCCCCGACCAAAAAGGGCCCAGGCACAGCCAGGGUCUUGAGGCCCGGGAUGAAGCAGGACCAAGCACAGUUGGGGCUGCUUUGGGGCCCGAGCUGGAAAGGUGCCUGGCACAGUUGGGGCUGCUUUGGGGCCUGGGCUGGAGGGGGGCCUGGCACAGUUGAGGCUUGCUCUUGGCCCAGACCAAAGGGAGCCCCGGCACAGCCAGGCUGUUGCUGCCCAGGAUGAAGCAGGACCAGGCACAGUUGGGGCUGCUUUGGGGCCCAGGAUGGAGGAGGACCGGGCGCAGUUCGGGCUGCACUGGGGCCCGAGCUGGAGACGGGCCUAGCACAGUUGAGGCCUCCUCUGGGCCCAGACCAAAAAGGGCCCAGUUACAGCUAGGGCCUUGCGACCCAGGAUCGAGAAGGACCAGACCCAGUAUGGGCUGCUUUCGGGCCCAGGAUGGAGGAGGACCAGGCACAGUUAGGGCUGCUUUGGGGCCUAGGAUGGAGGAGGACCAGGCACAGUUGGGGCUGCUUUGGGGCCCGGGCUGGUGGGAGGCCCGGCACAGCCAGAGCCUUGUGGCUGCACUCUCUCUGUACAGUUCAACCUUGAUCCAUAACCUAAAAUGGUAACUGUAGUGAAAGGCAGUAGCUGAUCCAGCUGCUUUCCUGUGUUUUAAUUUUCCUAUGAGUGGGGAAGGACUCAAGCUAGUAAACAAAGAGCCCUUUCUGAAGAACAGGACUCAGAAAGUAUUAGCACAGAGCAGAUGUCCCAGUAGAGAUUCUUCCCCUUAGACAGGCAGCCCUUAAACGAGGGUGGGGAGGGCUGGAGCCAGGCUCCACCCCUUUUUUGCCCAGGUGAAAUGCUUGCAGCUGUGCUCCACAGCAGAUCGUGUUUUAAUGAAGCCUGUGGAAGCCUGUGAAAUCCAAGAAUCCUUUCUUCCUUCUUUCUCGUUUGUGUUUGUUGCCUGCAGUUCCAAGCAGGUGGGCUCUCAGUGUCUUGCAAGUGCCACUUAGCAGCAGCAAGUCCAGCCAGGAGGCACAGCACCCUGCAACCUCCAGGUGAGUGACAGCAGGCAGGCAGGCAGGCCUUGGGGAUCUGCAGGGUCAUUGUGUGGAGCAUUAUGCCCAGGACCAGCUGAGUGUAAAGAUGAUGUCCGAGCUGCAGAGCUAAGCAUAACGGAGAGGCCCAGCGGCUCAGCUCGUUUCCCAGCGUAAGGCAGGAAAUUAGAGCCAUGAGGGAUAUGCAGACGCUUUCUGCUUUUGACUGUUGCCUCCCUCCUUCUGCCCCUGUCAGAGGGGAGGAACGAGCUGCACUUGCACAGAGACAUUGCUCUCACGGCCACUCCCCCCUCAGGUUGGAGCAUUCCUGGCUGCAGGAUGGGCAAACCUAAGUUCUUGCCUAAUUGUGUCAGUAAAGCUUAGAAAGGGACACAAACUAUGGC
RNAcentral lists this long non-coding RNA (1956 nucleotides) under Gallus gallus (chicken). Its description in RNAcentral is "lncRNA (ENSGALG00010028690.1)". Lineage: Eukaryota; Metazoa; Chordata; Aves; Galliformes; Phasianidae. The record is from RNAcentral.